CCUANGGGUGGCAGCAGUCGAGGAUUUUUCUCAAUGGGGGAAACCCUGAAGGAGCGACGCCGCGUGAGGGAUGAAGGUCUUCGGAUUGUAAACCUCUGUCAUCUGGGAACAAUGUGAUUUACCUAACACGUGGAUUAUUGAUAGUACCGGAAGAGGAAGCAGUGGCUAACUCUGUGCCAGCAGCCGCGGUAAUACAGAGACUGCAAGCGUUGUUCGGAUUCAUUGGGCGUAAAGGGUGCGCAGGCGGUCGGGUAAGUCGGAUGUGAAAGCUCGCAGCCUAACUGCGAUAGGUCAUUCGAAACUGCUCGGCUUGAGAACUGGAGAGGAGACUGGAAUUGUCGGUGUAGCGGUGAAAUGCGUAGAGAUCGACAAGAACACCGGUGGCGAAGGCGGGUCUCUGGACAGAUUCUGACGCUCAGGCACGAAAGCCAGGGGAGCAAACGGGAUUAGAUACCCCUNUANUC
Molecule: ribosomal RNA, 464 nt
Filed under: uncultured bacterium
Lineage: Bacteria
Description: bacterial SSU rRNA
Rfam family: Bacterial small subunit ribosomal RNA
Source: RNAcentral